GUAAUAAGGAGUGAAAUCCCUUUAUUAAUAGCCACCUCAUCCUUUGCUGAAGGCUUGACAUAAAUGAAGAUGCAACUACCGGAAGAAUUGUGGAGAGGAGAAGAAAGAGCACAUUCAUCGUUUGGAGUUUCAAAUGAAUCAAGUAUUGUGAUUAAUAAAAUAUUUUCAGUUGCUCUGGCUGCUAGCAAGAUAACAUAUUCAACCCAAAUGCC
RNAcentral lists this long non-coding RNA (212 nucleotides) under Pan troglodytes (chimpanzee). RNAcentral describes it as "lncRNA (ENSPTRG00000053628.1)". Lineage: Eukaryota; Metazoa; Chordata; Mammalia; Primates; Hominidae. The record is from RNAcentral.